RNAcentral lists this ribosomal RNA (253 nucleotides) under uncultured bacterium. Its description in RNAcentral is "partial 16S ribosomal RNA". It matches the Rfam family "Bacterial small subunit ribosomal RNA", at positions 524 to 776 of the family's 1533-position model. The record is from RNAcentral.
UACGUAGGGUGCGAGCGUUGUCCGGAUUUAUUGGGCGUAAAGGGCUCGUAGGCGGUUUGUCGCGUCGGGAGUGAAAACCAUGAGCUUAACUCAUGGCUUGCUUUCGAUACGGGCAGACUAGAGGUAUGCAGGGGAGAACGGAAUUCCUGGUGUAGCGGUGAAAUGCGCAGAUAUCAGGAGGAACACCGGUGGUGUAGACGGCUUUCUGGACCGUAACUGACGCUGAGACACGAAAGCGUGGGUAGCAAACAGG